RNAcentral lists this long non-coding RNA (2078 nucleotides) under Ursus maritimus (polar bear). Its description in RNAcentral is "lncRNA (ENSUMAG00000024259.1)". The record is from RNAcentral. Lineage: Eukaryota; Metazoa; Chordata; Mammalia; Carnivora; Ursidae.
AAAGGGGAGUAAAUCUUCAGAGCAAGGAGGGAGGAUCAAAGAAUAAGUUCGUGUGAACCGAAGAAGUGACCCUUUCCAGUGGAACGUGACUUUACUCUUUCCGAGCACCCAACGCAUUUUGGAGACAGUGAGUUUGCUAGAGAAUCAAAAUAAAGAAGCUACUCUGCGUUCCAGAAAAUCACGUGAUUCUCUCUCUCUCUCUCUCUCUCUCUCUCUCUCUCUCUCUCUCCCUUCCCCCCCAACUUCUCCCUCCCUCCCUAUCUCUUUCUCUCCUCCCUCCCUCCUGCCAGGCUGUGCACCCCAACCUUUACACCGUCAUCGCAGCCCCUGCAGCGUGUUGCGAGGUGCAAGUCCUUGCACACCUGGGUGAAAUUCGUGGGUGGCGGAGACAAAACGGCAGAGAACCAGGCGACCGGAGACAGAGCCGCAGAGUCGCCCUGGUCCCGCCCACCGCCCUCUCCGCACUCCCGCUCAGCCCCCUCCCUGCUUCCUGUCCUCUGGACCCGGCAGAUGAGGAAAACAAAAGUCCGUGGGGGAUCAGUGCGAAAUGAAAUUCAGGACCAGAAUCUGAAGACCCUAAGGCAGAAGCACGAGUCCUUUGGGAAGACGACCCUUGGAAACGAAUUGACUGCUUUCCUUAAUUUUGGCACUCUGAGCUCUGGAUCUCUCUGGAUCGCCCGGAGCGGCCUUCAGUUCUGCACCUGAGGAAGUUAAGCCGGCGGUGGAAAGUUCCCUGGGCCCAGCUUGCUCACCAACCGCCCGAACCUCCCUCACCCGCAUCGGAAAGGAAAGUGUGUUUGCUGCCCUGUGAACCAAGUAUGCAGCGAGGAAUGCUACCUUUUAUUUAUUUUUUUUUUAAAGAUUUAUUUAUUUAUUCGAUCCCAGAACGCCGGGAUCAUGCCCUGAGCCGAAGGCAGACGCCCAGCCGCUGUGCCACCCAGGCGCCCCGAGGAAUGCUACCUUUUAGGAUGAAUUCACAGAGCAACUGAACUGAGCUGAACUUUUUUUUUUUUUCUUUCGUUCUGAAGGCCUCUGGGGAAGUUGAUAAAGUUAUGAUUUAUCGUUUUGCAAGGGACAUUCCAAAACAGCAGUUUGUUUAAUUUUAAUUUUUUUUUUUUUUUUAAAGACAAGUAAAGGUCACAGAGACCAACUCAACUUUUAAUCUCAUUUCAGGAGGGUUGUUUUGAAAAGAGGGGUAUUUAGGGGCUCCUGGCUGGCUCCCUCGGUAGCGCCUGUGACUCUUGAUUUUGGGGGUGCUGAGUUCAAGCCCCACCUUGGGCACAGAGGUUAUUAAAAAAAAAAAAAAGGAUAUUUAAAGAAAUUGGGAGCCUUUUAUUUGUCAAGAAUAGUUUCAAAAAAUAACUGAAACUAUAUAAUAAUAUCUCAAUACAUUCUGAGUGUUAAAAAAAUCACUAUGUAGUAAAAGGUUUAUGGAAAAAAUGGAUUUCAGAAGGGACAUCCAAAAUAAUCAGUGGGCAUCGUCAUCAAACAUAAUUAAAGGCCGGUUAAGGAAACAGGGUGAUAAGUUUUAGAAACAUCAGAAUCCUAAAACCAAAUUCUCAGUUCUGGUCCACAGCUUCCUAUAUGCCUGAGCUCGUUUUUUGUUUUUUUUUUUUUAAUUGAAUUUUUAGCAACCAGCUGAGGCCUCUGCUUCCUUCAAGUAUGGGACAAUCCUAGUUACUUCCUCCUACUCCUUCCCUCCCGUGGGCCCAGAGGGCAAAAAAUUUCCCCCUUUUAAACGCUGAUACCGUGUGAGAGCCACUGCUUUUUCCCCAAGCUGGGGGUAGGCCUUUUCUCAAUUUUCAUAUGUAUCAGUUCCCCCUAUCCCCCACGGCUGCAAAAGCAAGUCUUCGUUCCUAACCAUGGCUUUGCAAACCUUCGCUUGGUUAGAAAGGUCUACCUUCUGCAAAACAGAAAUGGCAUUUUAAGAAUUUUAGUUGGUAGAUAAACACAUCUAAAGGUUGUGAUAGCUCUUGAGAUCCUCAUUCCCAACUUCAUCUUUAAUUGAGAGGUCCAAUCUUAACUAGAACUUAAAUGAAAACUCGAAAUAAAAAAUUAAAAAAAAGAAGAAAGUUCCA